GACGAACGCUGGCGGCGUGCUUAACACAUGCAAGUCGAACGAUGAAGUUCCUUCGGGAAUGGAUUAGUGGCGAACGGGUGAGGAACACGUGGGAAACCUGCCUUUCAUUUUGGGAUAACUCCGGGAAACCGGGGCUAAAACCGAAUACUCCGUCUCGGCGGCAUCGCUGAGCCGGGAAAAAAUCUUGAUGAAAGAUGGUCUCGCGGCCUAUCAGCUAGUUGGUGAGGUAAUGGCUCACCAAGGCAACGACGGGUAGCCGGCCUGAGAGGGCGACCGGCCACACUGGGACUGAGACACGGCCCAGACUCCUACGGGAGGCAGCAGUGGGGAAUAUUGGGCAAUGGGCGCAAGCCUGACCCAGCGACGCCGCGUGAGGGAUGAAGGCCUUCGGGUUGUAAACCUCUUUCAGUAGGGAAGAAGCGAAAGUGACGGUACCUAAAGAGGAAGCACCGGCUAACUAUGUGCCAGCCGCCGCAGUAA
Molecule: ribosomal RNA, 480 nt
Filed under: uncultured bacterium
Lineage: Bacteria
Description: partial 16S ribosomal RNA
Rfam family: Bacterial small subunit ribosomal RNA
Source: RNAcentral